Danio rerio (zebrafish) is the source of this 115-nucleotide ribosomal RNA. The record is from Ensembl. Lineage: Eukaryota; Metazoa; Chordata; Actinopteri; Cypriniformes; Danionidae.
CUCGGCAGCCAGCUCUCUGCAACUCUCAUAUGGUCGCCCAGUAAAGCUAAGCAAGGCUGUGCCUGGUCAGUAUCUGGAUGGGAGACUACAUGGGAAAGCUAGGUUGCUGUUGGAA